AUUACAGAUACAUAUUACAUAAUAUUAUUAUACAUCAAUAUGUCUUAUAUUAUACUUGUUACAGAAUACAGAAUACAAUCUGUUAUAUUAUGAUACCUUCGUCAUCCUCUGACAGUUGGGCAAAAAAUUCUGCCCAUGCCUGUGCAGCAAGUCCUCUGGGGACUUGCCCCCUGCCUCUAUUAGCCCUUUGCCCUCUUCUUGGAUGUAUCCUACCCCUUACACGCAUUCUUUGCGGGCCUUGUUCAUCUUAAAAAUAAGAAUAUGAGCUCUACCUUGUCCUCGCCUUCUUCGUCCACGUUCUUCUGGAUUCAUUUGAUCACCCAUAUGUUGAAGUGGUGGUGGUAAAGCUUGUAAAUUUAAAUCCAAGUCCUGAAGAUCAUCUGAAAUCGAUCAAUGUUAGAUUUAAACUGUAGAACAAUUUUUAAUGAAAUGUGGUUAAUGUAAGUGGAAUUACUUUAUAUAAGUGGUAACUUUAUAUUAUCUGUAUUUACUCUAUAUAUCUGUACUCUUUGCCCUAAAGGGCGUUAUUAUUAUUUUAUU
This is a long non-coding RNA of Acyrthosiphon pisum (pea aphid), 540 nucleotides long. RefSeq lists it as uncharacterized. The transcript is spliced from 3 exons. NCBI's taxonomy places the organism in Eukaryota, Metazoa, Arthropoda, Insecta, Hemiptera, Aphididae. The record is from RefSeq and is a predicted model, not a curated record.